RNA transcript from Helianthus annuus (common sunflower), 1470 nucleotides. It is a transcript of the gene named organelle RRM domain-containing protein 1, chloroplastic, with no coding region annotated. NCBI's taxonomy places the organism in Eukaryota, Viridiplantae, Streptophyta, Magnoliopsida, Asterales, Asteraceae. The transcript is spliced from 10 exons. The record is from RefSeq and is a predicted model, not a curated record.
AACCACAAAACCAACACUACCGUAACCACAAAGGCCCGGAACAACAUAGGAAAAAGGCUCAUGGCAUCAUCCAUGGCGCCUGCUCUAUCUUCUUCACCCCUCUUCAAACCCCUUGAUAAAUCACCAACAAUCACCCCUUUCUCACCCUCCUCAAACUCCCUCCAAAUCAACUUCGACUCACCCAGACUCUUAUUACGAUUCAACCACACUACCCUAACCACAAUCAGCAGCUGUGCAGCACCGGCAUCGAAUUCAAGUUUAGCACUCACUGCUCCAUCAUUACAUGAAGCCAAUGGCCAGAACCACUGGAUUGUCGUCGUUAAGGCUCCUCCACCGGAACAAGCUGGUUCCAGACCAGAUGUUAUCGAUUAUUAUGUCCAAAUUUUGACCAGGGUUUUGGGCAGCGAGAAGGAUGCCCAAUGCUGCAUAUACAAUGCUUCUUGUGACACGCCGCGAUACAGGUUCUGCUGCAAUUUAGAUGAAGAAGCGUCUCAAGAACUCGCGUGUUUGCCUGAAGUAUUAUCGAUCAAGCCCGAUCCAGAUGUCCGUUCUAUACAAAAGGAUUACAGUGAUCCGAAUGAUGAAUCGAGUUCAAAUAAUGACGCAUUCCCUCCAUUAUUUCCUGGUGGAAGCUCGAAGCAUUGGGUUGUUCGUGUAGAAAUGCCAGAAUCGAGAGUCAUCAACAGGGCACAGUUGGUUGAUUAUUACACCGAGACGCUAACCAAGGUUUUGGGGAACGAGAAGGAUGCCCAAAUGUGUAUGUAUCACAUAUCAUUACAACCUGAUUAUGGAUUCUGUUGUGAACUAGACGAUGAGUGCGCAAAGGAAUUAGCCGGUGUUCCUGGUGUUAUAUCUGUUAGGCCAGAUAAUAAUGUCAAUUCAGAUCAUAAAGAUUAUGAAGGUUACAAUCUUGAACAUUCUAGUAACUCGGAGGAUUUCUCAACGAAUCAACCAACCAAUAUCAAAACAAAGAAGCUUUUUGUAACAGGUCUGUCAUUUUAUACAUCCGAGAAAACCUUACGUGCAGCAUUUGAAGGGUUCGGAGAGCUUGUUGAGGUUAAAAUUAUUAUGGACAAGAUCUCCAAAAGGUCAAAGGGUUUUGCGUUUAUUGAGUACACUACUGAAGAAGCUGCAGCCGCAGCUCUCAAAGAAAUGAACAGCAAGAUCAUAAACGGUUGGAUGAUAGUCGUUGAUGUUGCGAAAACAAAACCACCAAAGUACAGCCGAGGGCGCCCGAGACCAACAAGUUGAUGCUUUUUAGGAAACAACAAAUUACAAGAUUCAAUAUAUAUUAUUAUGUGGUGUUACAGUUUUGUCACCUUUCAUGAUAGUUAGGAUUCUUAUCAUACGUUACUCGAUAUUAGAUUAGUACAUCGGUAGUAAAGAAAACGAUCCUUUUCUUGUGUAAGCAUGGGUGUAACUAGAGGCAAUUCGGUUGCAUCGACUGACAAUUUUCUGUUAGCAAAGGUA